Beta vulgaris subsp. vulgaris (sugar beet) is the source of this 809-nucleotide long non-coding RNA. RefSeq lists it as uncharacterized. The record is from RefSeq and is a predicted model, not a curated record. Lineage: Eukaryota; Viridiplantae; Streptophyta; Magnoliopsida; Caryophyllales; Amaranthaceae. The transcript is spliced from 3 exons.
AGAUGAAGUAACUCACAACCGUUAGAUCAUCUCGACUUGUACGCACAAAAAAUUUCCAAUCUAGGGUCGUGCAGCUUCUUUCCAUUUUUGUCAUUUCUCUUUCUCUCUCCUAUUUCGCACUUUCUCUCUCCUAUUUCGCAUUUUCUCUCUCCUAAUUCACAUUCAUUGGAAUACAUCGCAGUAACUUCUUCGUUCUCCGGUUAAGGUCUUCGCAAUACUGAACUGUGAUGUGAUAAUGGAGCGAAGAAAGGGUCUUUCUGAAUGCUUCGGACUGAUGUACUUGUUUAUAGAAAUCUGCUGGUUGGGUUUCAGCACAUUAUCUUGAACUUUCAGCUUUGUAGCAAAGAACUUAUGAGAAGCUUCGGACUGAUUAAGAACCUUCUUGUGGUUUGCUUAUAUAUUGUGCAGUAGGUUGCCAUCUUUGUCUGCACUGUGUGUGCAGUCUCUGAAACCUACUUGUAUAGUUGUAUCUAAUAUCUAACUGAAUACUGGUUUAGCUCUAAAUACCAUUAUUCAAUGUUUUUUUUCACAAAUUUGUGGUGAGAAUCUACCCUAUAUAGCUGUUACCCAUGAGGCUUGUAGUUUUUGUGAGGUUGCCACCUGUGGGCUGUGGCAGGGUUUGUGAAGAGAACAGCAAGUGCAUAGACUGGCUUACCAAACUCCCUCAGUUAGACUUCUGCUUUUCUUCAUUGUUUAAGCUUUCUCCAAUUUGACCGAAGGAAGCAAGGAUUCUUUUUAUGUUUUUUCUUUGAGUACCAGCUGGAUCUCUUAACAUUUUUAUUGACAAUAGAUAGGAAGUUUAUGCAUAA